RNAcentral lists this ribosomal RNA (1012 nucleotides) under Janthinobacterium sp. SUN128. RNAcentral's name for it is "bacterial SSU rRNA". It matches the Rfam family "Bacterial small subunit ribosomal RNA", at positions 1 to 1009 of the family's 1533-position model. The record is from RNAcentral. Lineage: Bacteria; Pseudomonadati; Pseudomonadota; Betaproteobacteria; Burkholderiales; Oxalobacteraceae.
AAACUGAAGAGUUUGAUCCUGGCUCAGAUUGAACGCUGGCGGCAUGCCUUACACAUGCAAGUCGAACGGCAGCACGGAGCUUGCUCUGGUGGCGAGUGGCGAACGGGUGAGUAAUAUAUCGGAACGUACCCUAGAGUGGGGGAUAACGUAGCGAAAGUUACGCUAAUACCGCAUACGAUCUAAGGAUGAAAGUGGGGGAUCGCAAGACCUCAUGCUCGUGGAGCGGCCGAUAUCUGAUUAGCUAGUUGGUAGGGUAAAAGCCUACCAAGGCAUCGAUCAGUAGCUGGUCUGAGAGGACGACCAGCCACACUGGAACUGAGACACGGUCCAGACUCCUACGGGAGGCAGCAGUGGGGAAUUUUGGACAAUGGGCGAAAGCCUGAUCCAGCAAUGCCGCGUGAGUGAAGAAGGCCUUCGGGUUGUAAAGCUCUUUUGUCAGGGAAGAAACGGUGAGAGCUAAUAUCUCUUGCUAAUGACGGUACCUGAAGAAUAAGCACCGGCUAACUACGUGCCAGCAGCCGCGGUAAUACGUAGGGUGCAAGCGUUAAUCGGAAUUACUGGGCGUAAAGCGUGCGCAGGCGGUUUUGUAAGUCUGAUGUGAAAUCCCCGGGCUCAACCUGGGAAUUGCAUUGGAGACUGCAAGGCUAGAAUCUGGCAGAGGGGGGUAGAAUUCCACGUGUAGCAGUGAAAUGCGUAGAUAUGUGGAGGAACACCGAUGGCGAAGGCAGCCCCCUGGGUCAAGAUUGACGCUCAUGCACGAAAGCGUGGGGAGCAAACAGGAUUAGAUACCCUGGUAGUCCACGCCCUAAACGAUGUCUACUAGUUGUCGGGUCUUAAUUGACUUGGUAACGCAGCUAACGCGUGAAGUAGACCGCCUGGGGAGUACGGUCGCAAGAUUAAAACUCAAAGGAAUUGACGGGGACCCGCACAAGCGGUGGAUGAUGUGGAUUAAUUCGAUGCAACGCGAAAAACCUUACCUACCCUUGACAUGGCUGGAAUCCUCGAGAGAUUG